UCUCCUGUGUAAAAUGACAACUUCCAGUAGAACAAUUAUAGGAAAGAUACAGGAUCUUUCUGUUCUUUCCACAGUAUCUCAGAUUUCAGACCGCCCAAGAUUCCUCUAGCUAAUGACUUCACAGUUGGUAACAGCGAGUUAACUUCACAAUGUUUCUUCAGCAUCUAUUAUGACAGUUCUUGGAACUAUACGUGCCAGAUUACAGUUCACACCUGGUGGUAGUGACAAUGGAAAUGCCUUUAGGAGGCUUGCAGAUCCCUUGGACCCAGAAAAUACAACUUUUUGAGACAUAUGGGAGAAAAAAGAGGUUUUUACAUCAGCUUUCCCUGGGGUUCCACGAACACUAAAUGAAUCUGAAGACACACCUUCAACAUUCUUUAAGAAGGAACCAUGGAAGCCAACCUUGUAUUGUUUAAAGAGAGAAUGAAACUUGAAGCAACAGACAGGAAGAACCCUUAUCUGAUCUGCUCCGCAACUAUUGGAAACAUUGAAGGAGACAGUUUACAUUACAUUUGGAGACUAGAGAGGAGCUUUUGAAUAUUGCUAUGAUUCUUCAGAUAGUCUCCUAAUUGGGUAGGUUGUAUCGCUUGACAAAUGUCUUACAACCAUCAGAAAAUAAUGCUCCCAUUACAAUAAGUAGAGCGAAAGCACAAUCUUCUCCUUCCCGUGUGGCUCAGCAUUCAAUGCAGGCGAGAAAACUCGCCCAGUAACUUGGGUCAAGAAAUCAGGUUGGGAUAAACCACCUGCAUAACUUUCCUCCCCACGAAGGAAAGGUUUCUUAAAAAUGAUUCCCUGACAAAGGUCAGCAUUCGUAAUUAAAAGAGGCCCAAAAUGAGAGAAAAAGGAAAAAUUGUCUUCCUGUUUUGUGUUCUCCUCCAUCUCUACUUAUGUAGUUGCUAGAAAGAGACCUUGGCCUUCCACUAGAUCAGGGAUGACGUUGCCGAGACCAUGACUGCAGCAAUGUCUGCAGUCUGUUUCUUUGCAGACAAACAGGGGACUCCAUACUCACCUGCUUCAGAAGAGAGCCCAGCAGCUGCCCACCUCCCGCUGGCCCCGUGGGUAUGCAGCUCGGUGGACCAUGCAGACCUAUGUGGAUUGUG
Molecule: long non-coding RNA, 1100 nt
Filed under: Homo sapiens (human)
Lineage: Eukaryota; Metazoa; Chordata; Mammalia; Primates; Hominidae
Description: non-protein coding lnc-ARHGAP28-7:1
Source: RNAcentral